AGAAAUUUGGUUCGUAGUGCACAAGGGUCAGAGUGGUCAUACCCUGAAACAGGGGAGACUUUAACUAAUAAACUGUACUAAAUGGAUAAACCAAAAAUUCUGGAAAUUUUAUGGGAGAAAGGUAUAUGAAUCUAGUUUCAAGUAAAAUUAACGAAACUUAAUUUGGAGUUUCGUAGCUCCAGAUAUAAAUAAUUUAGUGACUAUUGCUCAGGAAGACAGCUUGCAGUGAACUUGAGAAUAUGUUGUAAACAUUGAUAAAACAAGUUAAUGAGUUGCUUAUUGUUUUCAUAUGAACUUACUAAGCGAAAGCUUACCCCCCUUCUUUCCCAUGUUUUCUAUAGUUUCCAGGUUAGCUCGGGUUGAAGGCCGUCAGAGAUAUUAUCACACUGUCGAGUUAACGCUAUCGGCGUAAGUAAACUCAAGUGAUUCUAAUCUAUGGCAUGUAUAGGGUUUUAAUGUGAGUAUGUAAUAUUAUGAUUUAGCCAAAGGCAUUGGCUUGUUAUUAAGGUAGUAUUAGUCAUGUAAAUUGACAUAUGUCGGCUAAUGUCGUUAUGGGCCCAUAUGAUUAUUCUUAUGCAUGUAUGUUAUUAUCUCUUAUGAUGUGACUUACAACAUAUAUGCCUAGAGAUUGAAUUGAGAUUCAUUGAUGACAUGUUGAUAGCUAUAGCAUUAACAUGGUAAAGAUGAAAGAAAAACUUAUUGUAAUGGUUGCAUGUGAAAUUACCAUGGUCAUGUUAUGUUAGGAAGGUUUAAGUGCCUAAUUUUUUCAUGUUGUAUGCUAUUGUAUAAGUAUGCAUGCAUGUGUUGUAAGUGUGACAAAAUGGCUUGGAAAAUAGCCUUGUAUUUGUCCAGGUUUUGGACAUGGGUUCGGGACACGAGCGUGUUCUUAGCACCCGGGCGUGUGUUCUAUACCUAACGGGCGUGUGGAGCCUUGAUACAAGAGAUUUCCUAAGUUUUUCAUGAGUUCUCGGUUGGGUCCCGAACCAUCCCGAAUGCAUGUAUUGGGCCUCGUAAGCUCGCAUAAAGGACAGAUUGCAUGAGAAAAGAAAAGUUUUUAAUUAUUUGAGAUUUCAUGGCCCUGUUUAGUAUGGAAGUGUUAGUAAAAGUCAGGUAGCACCUCGAACCCCGUCCAGGCGUCGGAUGCGGGCGAGGGGUGUUACACAUAACCUCGGGAAAAGGAUUGGCUCUUAGGGUUGGGCACGAGGGUCCUAGUCCCGAACUUAUUGGCUGUCGUUGCACUACUCGAGCUGUACCCAGGUGAAAGCAGUUCACCAUGUGCCGGUUGGGGGACAGAUAGGGAACAGCUCUAUUGGGGGCUUUCCCCAGAUGACGAACAGUCGACUCAGAACUGGAACAGAUAAGGGGAAUCUGAUUGUUUUAGUAAAACAAAGCAUUGCGAUGGUCCUUGUGGAUGCUCACGCAAUGUAAUUUCUGCCCAGUGUUCUGAAUGUCAAAGUGAAGAAAUUCAACCUAGCGCAGGUAAACGGUGGGACUAACUAUGACUCUCUUAAGGUAGCCAAAUGCCUCGUCAUCUAAUUAAUGAUGUAUAUGAAUGGAUUAACGAGAUUUUCACUAUCCCUAUCUACUAUCCAGCAAAACCACGGCCAAAGGAAUAGGCUUGGCAGAAUCAGUGGGGAAAGAAGACCCUAUUGAGCUUGACUUUAGUCUGACUUUGUGAAAUGACUUGAGAGGUGUAGGAUAAGUUGGACCUCUCGGGCGAAAUUGAAAUACCACUACUUUUAAUGUUAUUUUACAUAAUCCUUGAAUCGAGGCAGGGUACGACCCCUUUUUUUCGACCCAAGGCUGGCUUCGGCCGAUUGAUCUGAGUGAAAGACAUUGUCAGGUUGGGAGUUUGGCUGGGGCGGAACAUCUGUUAAAAGAUAAAGUAGGGUCCUAAGAUGAGCUCAACGAGAAAAGAAAUCGUGUGUGGAACAAAAGGGUAAAAAAUCGUUUCAGUCUGAUUUCCAGUAUGAAUAGAAACUGUGAAAGCAUGGCCUAUCGAUCAUUUAAACCUUCGGAAUUUGAAGCUAGAGGUGUCAAAAAAGUUACCAUAGGGAUAACUGGCUUGUGGCGGCCAAGCGUUCAUAGCAAUGUUGCUUUUUGAUCCUUCGAUGCCGGCUCUUCCUAUUAUUGUGAAGCAGAAUUCACCAAGUGUUGGAUUGCUUACCCACCAAUAGAGAACGUGAUUUGGGUUUAGACCGUCAUGAGACAGGUUAGUUUUACCCUACUGAUGGCCACGUCGCAAUCAACCUAGUACAAGAGGAAUCGUUGAUUCGCACAAUUGAUAAUCGCGCUUGGUUGAAAAGCCAGUGGCUCGAAGCUACCGUACGCUAGAUUAUGACUAAACGCCUCUGAGUCAGAAUCUGGGCUAGAACUGACGCACACACCUGUCGCUUGAUUGCUGUCCCGCAGUAGGGGCCUCUAGCUGCCAAGGGCAUGUGUCGUAGGUGCAGCAAUUACCGCGGACAAGUCGCGGGUGCCUCCUUGGAGCGUAAUUCCCACCGAACGAUGGGUAGAAUCCUUUGCAGAUGACUUAAAUACACGACGGGUUAUUGUAACUGGUAGAGUGGCCUUGCUGCCACGAUCCACUGAGAUUCAACCCUUUGUCGCUUCGAUUCAACCCUUCCGUAUCG
Molecule: ribosomal RNA, 2633 nt
Filed under: Gossypium hirsutum (cotton)
Lineage: Eukaryota; Viridiplantae; Streptophyta; Magnoliopsida; Malvales; Malvaceae
Description: eukaryotic LSU rRNA
Rfam family: Eukaryotic large subunit ribosomal RNA (bases 1138-2618)
Source: RNAcentral